CUCUGUGACUCCUACGGGAGGCAGCAGUGGGGAAUAUUGCACAAUGGGGGAAACCCUGAUGCAGCCAUGCCGCGUGUGUGAAGAAGGCCUUCGGGUUGUAAAGCACUUUCAGUAGGGAGGAAGGUAGUGUAGUUAACACCUGCAUUAUUUGACGUUACCUACAGAAGAAGCACCGGCUAACUCCGUGCCAGCAGCCGCGGUAAUACGGAGGGUGCGAGCGUUAAUCGGAAUUACUGGGCGUAAAGCGCAUGUAGGCGGCCUGUUAAGUCAGAUGUGAAAGCCCGGGGCUUAACCUCGGAAUUGCAUUUGAAACUGGCAGGCUAGAGUCUUGUAGAGGGGGUAGAAUUUCAGGUGUAGCGGUGAAAUGCGUAGAGAUCUGAAGGAAUACCAGUGGCGAAGGCGGCCCCCUGGACAAAGACUGACGCUCAGAUGCGAAAGCGUGGGGAGCAAACAGGAUUAGAUACCCUGGUAG
Molecule: ribosomal RNA, 472 nt
Filed under: uncultured bacterium
Lineage: Bacteria
Description: bacterial SSU rRNA
Rfam family: Bacterial small subunit ribosomal RNA
Source: RNAcentral